UCGCGAGGAGCUCUAAUGACCCACGCGGCGGGUACGAGCAAAGCUGCGCAAAAUAAAGACGGCAUCUGGCAUCUGGCAGAAAAGCUCGAUAUCGGUAUCGAUACUUACCGCUUAUUCCACUUCAGGUAAGCGUCAGAAAACAUUCUGAGCCCAAGCAGAUAUUUACCCGCCUCUCUGGUCGCGUGCAUUUACUCCGGUCCUGCAGCCUCGGCAUUUUCUUGCAGAUCUAAGGCAGCACCUCGCGAACACUCCAGAAGGUAGCAGCUUUGGUAGCCCGGAAAAGCAGCAAGCAUGUCCGACAGCAACAUACAAGAGACCCGGGACGAGGUUGCUCAGGAAAAGGUGCGCGGUGUCAGUUUAUUUCGCCAGUAAAGUAAGCGACGCAGCAUCGUCAGCUCUUACCAGAUGUGUAUGUAAACACGCGAUGUAAACACGCGAUAAAUUGUAGACGUAUCUCUGACUGCAAGCUGCAGAAAGCUGCUGUUGCUGUUGCUACAAAUGUUCCUCACGUCACGCCGCCUCGUUCUUUAUAACAUCCUUAAGCUAGCCGGGGAGAAUCUGCGCACUGCAGGUCGUUAGCUCUAUUCUCAUCCCGCGGCCCAACCAGGACCGAUUGAUUGAACCCCUAACUAAAUACGUCCAGGCCCGGAUGGAUAGCGUUGGCAUAGGUUGCUCUUAGUGUCCUUCCCAUUUUUGCCGUGAUUUGGUUUAAAUGGAACUCCGCCCCUCCAGCUUUCCCACGCCUCUUUCUACCCUUCCUCCCCUCCUCUCGUUCCCAUCUUCUCCUUCCCCAUCUCUUUCCGCAGUUCGGUAAGAAGUUUGACGAGCUGGAGCCCAUGCAACGAAUCCAAGUGGGAGGCACCAUCGGCGGACGCUCCAGGUAGGAAUUGACCAUGUUUCUUCAAACGUUGUCAUCUUUUUGGACAACGCAGCUUUUAUGUGUGCGAUGUGUGCGAGUAGUUGCGUCACGAGCGCGACGCGACACGGCGGCGACAGCGUUGAUGCCGCCUGGGCGACUCACCCUCGAGAGCUCACCUACAGAGGGCUCCCAACGGCCAGCAGCGGGCAGCAGCUGCCGGCCUUGCGGCAUCAUCAUCAUCACCAUCAUCAUCAUCAUCAUCAUCAAGUAAUGAAAAGAGACCCAUACGAGGAAAAAAGUGAUGUCGUUGAAGUGUUGUUGUCCCUCUUCAAGAGGGAAGAGAUGCGCGAUGUUGCCUGUUUUGGGGUCCGGUGUAUCUGUUUACUUGUUUUCGGAACACAGCGCUUUCAAUGCCACUUACUGACCCGUGGGUCCUGACCCAUGCUUGCUUGGCGAUUGUGAGAUGUGGUGCUAUUCUUGCGGUGAGGGUAGAGAUAUCAGUCAUUCGGCACUUGCGUGCUGCUGCCACCACCACCACCACCACCAACAACAACAACAACAACAACAACACGAGGGCAGGCCGCAGUCCAGCCGCCGAUUUCCUUACCUGCAGCCCACAUAAAGCAUAAACACGCCGUCUGGUAUCGGCGGAUAACCCCCGGGGCCCGCCCCCCCCCACCUUGCUGUGCGUGUUCCUUUCGGCACCGAGGGCGGGGUGUUGCGUCUACCUCCCCCCACCCCACCCCACCCCACCCCACUGGUGCCCGCUGCCCCGCGGCUUCACGACGGGGGGAGGGGUUACAACGCAAAGAAUAAAGGUUUUGAAUUACCCGACAGUUGGGUCGGGUCUAGGAUAUGCUUCCGUAGAUUGUGGGGUUGUGGGGAGAGGUACAAGGCUCUUGAGCAUCUGAGCCCCCUCGUUGCCCCCUGCGUAUUAUGUAGGUUCCAUCGUACGUACGGCCUCUCGCUAACUCUUAUCCCAUGACAUGUUGCUACCGCUACUCCCCCCCCACCGUCAUCCGCACGACUUGCUUACAUACAUCUGUACAUACAUACACACACACAGGGGAGACGCUGGCGGCGGCGAUCAUCACGAGCACCUGGACAGAGUGGCUCAGGAGAAGGUACGACAUGCACGGUUGUCGUACGUACGGCUGCCUGGCAUCCAUCCAGCGCCAGGCAGGGUAUGGAACGGAGACGUACUGACCUUCCUUCAGGUGUCGACCUCCCGUCUUGUGUGCUCGGCAGGACAGCGGUCUUGUUGCGGGAAUCCCGAACAUUACCCUUUCUCUUCCUCUUCCAUGAAAAUCCGAACAACGGUUUUUCUUUGUUUGGAGAGUCCAGGAUACCCCCAGCUACUCCCGAGCGCUCUCGAGUACCUGUCUGUGUGCAGUAGCUGCCGCUGCUGCUGCUGCUGCUGCUGCUGCUGCUGCUGCUGCUUGCAUGCUCGCCCCUGCUGCUCUCCUCUGUCCUCCUCCUCCAUCCAGCCAGCCCACCUAAACGUUACAUGUUGUACCCUUCAUACAAUGUGUGUACACCAGGAAGGGUGCAACCAUUCAUACAAUAAUCUCACCGCACCCUCCUUUUCCCCUCCUCGCAAUGUGUCGGCCAUGUAUGUAUGUAUGUAUGUGAUGUGACCCGUGGCGGUCUUUUCGCAGUUCGGUAAGAACUUCGAGGAGCUGGAGCCCAUGCAGCGAAUCCAAGUGGGGGGCACCGUGGGUGGCCAGGUGGGUGCGCGUGUGUGUGUAUGUGUGUGUGUGUGUGUGGAGGUGCCCAUGAGGAGGGUGAUGGGGUGGAUUGGGGGGCCCCUUGUUGCUUAGGCGGCUAGGGAGGGGUGAUGUGAGCGGGUGAGGUGUGAUGUGUGAGCGGAUGGUCGUAGAAGGUCAAUAAUAGUAGGUGCCUUCCUCUCGUUCACCCAUCCCCCCCCCCACACACACACACGCGUGUUUUUCGUGUGCACGCGAUUUUGUGCCAGGGGUGGCCCCGGGUUUGGGGAGGGGGGAAGGCUGGUGGGUAUGAGACAGCAACAGUCGUUGGUGAACCCGGGAUAUGCGCGCGUGGAGAGGUAUGGGGUGAGGGUUUGGGAACGGCGUCCCUCGCGACGGGCCCGGAAGGUCGGAGACGGACGGAGGGGUAGAGGACGCGGGCGGUUGCGACGCGAGGGGUCUUCUUUCUCCAAUUCCAAGUACGAAGGGCAUCAUGUGAAGAAUGUGUGUGUGUGUGCGUGCGUACUAGAGCAACCCCUGCCUAGUUAAGGGAGUUAGCUAAACCACUAAACACAUCCUCCAUACAACCGCGACACGCAGGCUGGCGGUCUGUACACGGGCACCGGUGGGGAUGAGUGAGCGAGGGAGACCGGGACGGGCGGAUGAGGGCAUGGAUAGCUGGAUGAGGGGCACAGCAGUACUCCCCCCAAACCCCAAACACAGUACUUGGCGGUCACCAGUACUUCGCAGCGGACCCCGCAGCGGUUUCGAGGAGGAUGGGGUUCCUGGAGGAGGUCGCUAUUGCUAACUAACUGCUAAUUAGUUGUGCUGUGUGUACCACAAAUAGUUGGGACGUUGCGGUGGCAGGCAGGGAUGUGAAUGGGGAUUGCUUUUUGACGAUUAUGCG
RNAcentral lists this long non-coding RNA (3472 nucleotides) under Volvox carteri. RNAcentral describes it as "long non-coding RNA (VCAR_LNC001069)". Lineage: Eukaryota; Viridiplantae; Chlorophyta; Chlorophyceae; Chlamydomonadales; Volvocaceae. The record is from RNAcentral.